This 568-nucleotide ribosomal RNA is filed under the name uncultured eukaryote. Its description in RNAcentral is "bacterial SSU rRNA". It matches the Rfam family "Eukaryotic small subunit ribosomal RNA", at positions 21 to 550 of the family's 1831-position model. The record is from RNAcentral.
UAGUCAUAUGCUUGUCUCAAAGAUUAAGCCAUGCAUGUGUAAGAUCGGUAUAGUCUAGCUUCGGCUAGAACAUUACUAAUCUGCGGAAAGCUCAUUAAACAAGUUAUGAAUUUAGCCACCUGGUUAACUAAGGAAUAACACUGUCAACUGCAGCGCUAAUGCCUAGAAAAUCGGUUAACGCCGAGAACAUUAGGGUCUGGGUGAAUCCGCCCUACUUCGGGACUUUGUCCCUGUUGACCACAGAGUCUGAGAGUUGUAGAUUCGUGUCGUAAGGCUUGUUUCAAAAGCUUUAUUUGUGGCCGGGAAGAUAUGUUUCUAAUCUAUCAGCCUGGAGAUUGGGUAAGGUCCAAUCUUGGCUUUUACGGAUACAGGGGAUUGGUGUUCAAAUCUGGAGAGAGAGCCUGAGAAACGGCUAUCACAUCUAAGGACGGCAGCAGGCGCGUAAAUUACCCAAUUUUAAUUCAAAGAGGUAGUGACAAGACGUAGCGACUUUACACCAAUUGGUGGAAAGGUACCACUCUGUGGUUUGAAAUGGAUGGAAAUUAAAAUUCUCUAUGAGUAGCAAUUA